CACGAGAUGUUACAAGCCCUGGUUGUGUGCUGCUCACUGUUGGUUGUAUAGGGCCUUUAUUGGCGAGUUUGAGAGAAAGUUUGUGUCUACAGGGUGUCCAUCACAUGUUCUACAUGCCAGCAUGUCAGCUCAGUGCUUUCACUGUGAUACUAACCAGUACUGAGCUCUGUCCGGUGAUCGUGUGGUCUGCGGAGUUUAACCCCCAGUUUCCAUAGCAGGUUAACCACGAAAGAUGUAAUUGGCAACAUUUUGUUUUUAUUUUUGUACUUUGAACAAGUGGUCAUGUGGUGAGAUUAUGUUUCUUAGUACUAUCAAGAAAGGGAUUCAUUCAACUGAGGAAUUACUAGCAUUUAGUCAUCUCAAAAAUAUCGAUAAAGUCAGCCCCGACACCUACCCUGGCGGAUAUAUACAAAGUGUGUCACUACCUGGGUCAUCUGUGUGCGGGCGGCAGGCGGUGUGCGGUUUGCUGCACCAGCACAGACGCAGCAGACGACGCACCUACUGACAGCGCGGCGUCAGGAGACAACAACCCCGACAGCUCUAAUCAGCCACCGCUGGUGUCCGAGAAAGAAGCUGAAAUCGAAAUAAUCAUGACAGACUAUGAGAGCAUCAAGCGCAAGUGUCGUCUAACGGGGACACUUUUCGAGGACAAAGAUUUCCCAGCAAGCAGCGCUUCGCUGUACUUCCGCUCGUCCUUAUCGGCGCCACUCAUUGAGUGGAAACGACCUAAAGAAAUCGUCUCAAACCCUCAGUUCAUUGCAGACGAGGCGCUGUACGUGGAUCUUGAGCAGGGAACUCUAGGAAACUGCUGGUUUGUUGCUGCCGCAGCUUCAUUGGCGGCCUCCAACAAGUCUCUUCUUCAUAAGGUCGUGCCCCCAGAUCAGAACUUUGGCUCUGAAUAUGCAGGGAUAUUCCGCUUCAACUUCUGGCAGUACGGCAAGUGGCGGGAGGUGAUCGUGGACGAUCGUCUGCCCACACGGGAAGGUCGCCUGGAGUACGCGGCCAGCACCACCAAGCAUGAGUUCUGGUGCGCCCUCCUGGAGAAGGCCUUCGCCAAACUGUACGGCUGUUAUGAGGCUAUCGAUGGAGGCAGAGUGCACGACGCCCUGCUGGACAUGACAGGGGGAAUAACUGAGCUAAUCAAGCUGAAGGGGGCCAUUGAUGUGGAGAAGCUCACCAACAUCCUGACCAUGUGCUGGAGCAUGGAAACCCUCAUGGGCGCCGCCAUCUUUGAGACCUCUGUGGGCCGGAGAGAGACGAGGUUAAACACGGGAUUAUACACUGGCCACGCUUAUAGCCUCAUCAAACAUAAGACAGUCACACAUAAAGGUCAAAAGAAGAUGCUGCUUCUCGUCCGAAAUCCAUUCGGUCGCGGAGAGUGGAACGGAGCGUGGUCUGACACAGAUAGUGCGUGGAGCGAGAUCAGUGCCAGCGAGCGAGAAGACCAUGCCAUCCGCAAGAGAGACGACGGCGAGUUUUGGAUAAGUGUAGAGGACUUCAUCGAUAACUUCGACGAGCUGGAGUUAUGCCACCUGUCUCCUGACCUUCUGGCGCCAGAUAAAGACAGUGAACGGAUGGAAAGGAAGAAAUGGAAACAAAUCUCGUUCACCGGCCAGUGGAUCAAGGAUGUGACCUCUGGGGGACCGCUGAAGAGCUUCACCUCUCGUCAGUUUUGGACCAACCCCCAGUUCCGCGUGACCCAGGACCACACCGGGCCUGUCAAUGCUGUCAUCUCUCUGUUGGAGGUCACAGACAUGUUUCUUCGGAGCGUUGACGAUGUGAACAUCGGCUUCGUCAUCUUUAAGCUCAAGCCUGGAAAGGAACCUCCAGCCCGACUAACGGCGGACAACUAUUACGAGCACACCCCACAACUCGUGGACACAUCCGGGGCUUUCUGGCCCUACAGAGAGCGUGCCGUGCAUUUCGUCCUGGACCCCGGGGCUCACGUCGUUGUGCCCUGCACCUUCAUGCCGGGACAAGAAGCACAUUUUUAUUUGAGAAUAUUUUCGGAGCUACCUGUUGAUGUCAGUCCUGCCGAAGAGCGCCUUGGGCCGACAAGAGAACUGGAAAUACCAGAGACCAGUUUGAUAGACAGACUUUUCCAGAAGCAUCGAGGACCAGAUGGUCAGGUUGACGCCAGUAGCUUGCAAAAAAUACUUGCGGAGGCGAAGUUAGAAACGUACGGCAAACCUGACGGCUACUCUCUGGAAACCUGCCGCUGCCUUGUCUUCCUUGAUGAUACAUUUGUUGUAGGACUUCUUGACCAGGAGAAAGUAAAGUUGGCGUGGAAAAAUAUCCAGCUGUGGACGUUUGCCUUCAAAGAAGCAGAUUUAAGCGGUGAUGGCAAGGUCGACGCCUCCGAGCUGAAGGGGAUCUUCCAGAAGAUUGGCUUCAACCUGGACACUACUUCUUUGCACCGUGUGGUGCGGCGCUAUGGCGACCGUGAAGGUCGGAUGCACGAGGACGACUUCCUGCAGGCUUUCUGCCGUAUCCUCGGCCUCUACCAAAUCUUCAAGAGGAAAUCAGAAAAUGGUAAAAUCACAAUGGAGCUGAGUGAGUGGAUGGCCACAACACUGUACUCGUAACAUCUCCGACUGCACUACCACAUAUCGGUUGACCCCUCUCGCCACAGCUCAUGAGGUCAAGCAUCUGUAACGUGUCUUCCAUAGGAUUCCACAACCGCUAACUAACGUUCAGAUCAUCUUUAGUCUCUGAACAUCUAUGCAACACAAGGCAGCAUCUCUUAUCCUCGCCCUACCUCUUCUCCUCGGUUAUUCAUGGUACAUAGAGAUGGUGCGACUGGUGCUGUUAUGUAUGGUUAGAGAGUUUUUACUUGUGACUUUGCCUGUAUAUUUGAGGCCGUGUCUGUGUGUCCUUUGUGUGUGAUACUGUAUGUGUGGGUGUCACUGCCCAAAUCUUACGCGCACCCCAGCAAAACUUUAUCAAGUCGUCACUCAGUCAUCUUACUACUCGUAGUGUCCUAUGAACCAAUAUAAAGCAUGAACAGAUUGACACCUACCUAUUGAAACCAAAUAAGCACUUGAAGAAAACUGAAAGCAUGAAACGUGGACAAUUUCUAAAACAUAUGAAAAUACUGUGGCAUGUGUUUUCGCGGAUUUUACUUUAGCGGACAUGUAAACAAACAGCAGUCCUAGGCAUUUUUAAAAAAUCAAUAUAAAAUAUUAGGAAGUUGCUUAUUAGAAUUGGUAAUUUUAUAAUCCCAUUUUCUGGUGCAAGCCGUUAUAUGUUUCGGAAAGGAGUUAUACAAGUCUUUAGUAUAUUUUGCAUCGGAAUACUUCUCCCCUUAAUGACGCAUAGCUUCCACUGAACUACUCACUUCAAACACCUGCACACUGGGACUAGGAGUGUCUGAAGUGUUUUAACAAAUGUAUAAAAAGGGGGGGGGGACGGUUUGUUUGCUCAGUAUUAAUCAUGGCCGUAAACCCGCCAAAGGGAGUGGUUUCUCCCUUUCAAAUUACUUUAAAUAACAAAAGCCAUAUCCCACCAAUCAAAGUUUUUUUUAACAAUAUUCUUUUACAUUUUGUUUCUCAUUUAACAUGCAAAUCUGUCUUAGAUGUUUUAUUGAUUGUCUACUUUGACAUUUGGGUCUACAUUGCAGUUUACAAGUUGUCUCAGGAGAUUCUGUAAUGUUCGAACUUUGUAAUUAACUAACAGUGGCACUUCAAUUGUUCAUUCAAUAUUCAUAUCAGUAGAAGCUUUAUUUGUUUUUAGUUGCCAAUAUUUUUAUACUAGAAUGCUCGUUCUAGAAUUAGAGCGUUUGACUGUCUGUUGGUACUAUGUUCAUGUAAGCCACAGCUUGAAUAUCAUGUGGUAUUAUUUCCAUGUAAAUAGCUGAAUAAAUAACUUUAUGAACUAUA
RNAcentral lists this unclassified non-coding RNA (3878 nucleotides) under Pomacea canaliculata. RNAcentral's name for it is "calpain-B-like, transcript variant X4". The record is from RNAcentral. Lineage: Eukaryota; Metazoa; Mollusca; Gastropoda; Architaenioglossa; Ampullariidae.